CGUCUACUCCCGCUACCCCUUCGUCAACGCGCGAUUACGCAGGAGAAGAGGAUGCGCCGGCGUCCAUGGCGUCGAUCCUUCUUUUCGCAUCUCGUACUCAUCCUUUUCUUCCUCCCCCUCGUUCUCUUCCUCUGCCACUCCCUUCUGUGGGUCGCAUUUUUGGGCGCUGACGCCGUACCGAGGGUGAAGAGAUCAGCUGAGCUCCCACUUCGAUUCCGAUCCGAUGGCAGCUUCAAGAUCCUUCAGGUGGCUGACAUGCACUAUGGGAACGGGCUGGUGACCCGGUGUCGAGACGUAUUGCCAUCGGAGUCCUCCCGAUGCACCGAUGUCAACUCGACGGUGUUCCUAAAGAGGAUGAUCGAAGCGGAGAGGCCCGAUCUGAUUGCAUUCACAGGGGAUAACAUAUUUGGCGCCAGCGCUACGGAUGCUGCAGAAUCCCUUUUCAAAGUCUUUAGACCUGCCAUGGAAUCCAGGAUUCCCUGGGCAGCAAUCUUGGGCAAUCAUGAUCAGGAGUCAACCAUGCCAAGAGUGGAGUUGAUGUCAUUUAUCUCACUUAUGGAUUAUUCAGUGGCCCAAGUAAAUCCAUCAGGUUUUUUGGUAGAUGGAUAUGGGAAUUACGACAUCAAGGUGCAUGGAGCAUGGGAUUCUGGACUGGCUAAUACCAGCGUUCUCAAUCUCUACUUCCUUGACAGUGGUGAUCGUGCUAUGGUCGGUGGACGGAGAACUUAUGGAUGGAUAAAGGAUUCUCAAUUGACUUGGCUUCGAGCUGUUUCUGAAGAUCUACAGAGAUCAUCAAAUCUACAACAGAGCAGGUACCCGGCUCCUUCGCUAUCAUUCUUCCACAUUCCAAUUCCAGAGGUUCGAGAGCUGUGGUUUAAGGGUUUCGUAGGCCAGUUCCAAGAGGCAAUUGCUUGUUCUUCUGUCAACUCUGGGGUCCUUCAGACCCUUGUCUCCAUGGGAGAUGUAAAGGCAGUAUUCAUUGGCCAUGACCAUCUGAAUGAUUUCUGUGGAAACUUAGAUGGUAUAUGGUUCUGCUAUGGCGGUGGCUUCGGUUAUCAUGGGUAUGGAAAACCCAGUUGGCGAAGGCGAGCAAGGGUAGUUUUGGCUCAACUUGGAAAAGGGAAAGGGACAUGGAUGGGCGUUGAGGUGAUCAAGACCUGGAAGCGGUUGGAUGAUGAUAAGCUGACUAAGAUCGAUGAGCAGGUGCUUUGGAGACGAGAUCCAUGGGAGGGCCAAUGACAUUUAUGCCUCUCGGUGCCUUGCACAUCACUCUGAAAAUGUCAGCGGUCAAACCUUAAAGUCCAAAACAUAUCUAGGGUCAAGUUUGUCAACACGACUCAAGUUUGUCAACACGGCUUGAUAAUGUCAAAUCUUGUGGCUACCGAUCGAUCGCUGCGGCUGUGAAAAUUAACGCUCACAAUUUUCUGUGUGAUCGUAUGAAGUUGGUGGUGAUGAGAUCGAUCGCGGCGGAGCAAGCGAAAGAUCCGGCCACAAACAGCGCCGCCGCCGCAAGCAGAAGCGCCUUCGCCCGCAGCCCCGCUGCCAGGAUAGCCGCCCCAACGGCCGCGGCGGCGGCCGCGAGCAGCGCCUUGUUCCACCCCCGGAACGCCUUCAGGUCAUUCCUGCACUGCUUGCAGUGCACCACGUGGCGGUAGUAGCGGUUCGCCGGGUUCGGCGCGUGCCGCUCGCCGACGCCUCCCUUGGCCGGGAACGUGGCGGACAUCCCCGCGACCACGCCGACCGGAGCCUGCUCCACCACCGCCGGCUCCUUCGGCGGGGAGAUAGUCGCGUGCCCGAAGUGGUACGGCAUGCCGUGGCCGGCGCGGUCCAUCCACUUUCGGUACUCCGCCACCCACGUGUCCGACGAUCUCAGGUUUAGGUAGAGGUCUCUGGUGGGGCGGCGCUCCUUCACGAGCACCUCGUUCUGCGACGAGAGGAAGCCCAUGUCCUGCUCGAAGACGCUGCAUUGGUUCUGGUGGAUGAACCAGUCGGGGAUGAGUUUGAAGAAGCCUGGCCGGGCGCUGGCGCCGAACCGGGCAAUGAGCAUUGACUUCCCCUGCCCCGUCGGCCGGCAGAGGAACAACGCCGACAGGUACUGCUUCUCUCCCUUCUUGUCGAUUUGUUCUACAUCGUUGGAGAGGACGCAGGGGGCUUGAAAGCGGAGGAAACUCCACUGCCCGGGCCGCGUCCUUGGCCGCCCCCACCGACCGGCGAAGCCGCGGGCGGUGCGCUCGGUGACCUCGAACUCCAGCGGCUGCGCCUCCUCACGGCGGGCAGACCAGUCAGUGCGGUCGUGGGAGAUCGGCACGUGCGCCGGGUCCAUCAAGUUCUCGAGAAGGAUGGAGUGGUCGUAGGGCAGCUCAUGGACGGAGGAAAUGGCCUGAAAUCCCGGCCGGUCAUAGUGCUCGAACCAUGGCAGUUUCAAGUUCACCGGCGGGGUCUUGUCCGACAUCCAAACCCACACCACCCCCUGCGAAUCGCGCACCUCGUACGACCUCACGCACGCCGCGCGAGGGAUCUUCGCCGACUCCGGCAGCUGCGGGAUCUUCACGCACCGGCCUUCGCCGGCGAACUGCCAGCCGUGGUAGAGGCACUCCAGGCGUCCAUCCACCAAUUGCCCCUCCGACAGCUUCGCCAAUCUGCAUCAAAAAAAAAAGAAGUGUUUUGCCCCAAAUUUUAGUGCUUUAAAUCCGAAGAAAUCUGCAUCAAAAUCAAUUUUUUUUUCUUCUUUUCGCCCCAAAAUCUAGGGUUGUAGAUGAGAAGAAGCCAAGCACACCGGUGAGGGCAUCGGUCCUCGAAGCAACGGAGGACGCCGUCGCCGUCGCGGAAGAGGACGAGCUGCUUGUCGAAGACGGACAGGCCGAGCGGCGCGUCGUUGGGAACUUGCUCCGUCAAGUACAGCGGGUACCACUCCUCUCUCCAAUCGUACUCCGCCACGUCCUCCUCCACCUCAGCUUCCGCCGGAACCAGCACCUCCUCCCUCCCGACGUCCUCCGCGGCCACCGCCGCCCGACACCUUCCGCUUCUUCUACUCGUCCUCUCGAUCACAAGCUCCCUUCUCGACAUCGAAGGAAGGCGAGCGGAGGAACAUUCGAGGGAUUUGUGAAAGGAGAGAAGGCAGACGGAGGAGAAGCGCAAGAGAGCCAUCGAUCGGAGUUGUGUCGUGUCUCUCACUCUCUCCCUGUUUAAUCUUCAUCCUGCAAAAAGUAUUAUUAUUUUGCAUUUUUUUCAGUCCACAAAAAAAAUUUAUAACAAAUUUAGUAUGUUAUAAUGCAAAGGAGUUUGAUUGGAAAAAGAAAACUAAUUUGGAUUUA
This is an RNA transcript of Zingiber officinale, 3314 nucleotides long. It is a transcript of the gene named probable inactive purple acid phosphatase 28, with no coding region annotated. The record is from RefSeq and is a predicted model, not a curated record. NCBI's taxonomy places the organism in Eukaryota, Viridiplantae, Streptophyta, Magnoliopsida, Zingiberales, Zingiberaceae. The transcript is spliced from 6 exons.